GCUUUUCCGCUGACGAGUGGCGCACGGGUGCGUAACGCGUAUACAAUCUGCCUCUUACAGGGGGGUAGCCUUUGGAAACGAAGAAUAAUACCCCAUAGCAAGUAACUUUCGCAUGGAAGCUACUUUAAAGUUUCGGCGGUAAGAGAUGAGUAUGCGUCCUAUUAGCUAGAUGGUGUGGUAACGGCACACCAUGGCGACGAUAGGUAGGGGCCCUGAGAGGGGGAUCCCCCACACUGGUACUGAGACACGGACCAGACUCCUACGGGAGGCAGCAGUGAGGAAUAUUGGACAAUGGGCGAGAGCCUGAUUCAGCCAUGCCGCGUGCAGGAAGACUGCCCUAUGGGUUGUAAACUGCUUUUGUACGGGAUGAAACCCAUCUACGUGUAGAUGGCUGACGGUACCGUAAGAAUAAGGAUCGGCUAACUCCGUGCCAGCAGCCGCGGUAAUACGGAGGAUCCUAGCGUUAUCCGGAAUCAUUGGGUUUAAAGGGUCCGCAGGUGGACGAUUAAGUCAGAGGUGAAAUCCUGCAGCUCAACUGUAGAAUUGCCUUUGAUACUGGUUGUCUUGAAUCAUUGUGAAGUGGUUAGAAUAUGUAGUGUAGCGGUGAAAUGCAUAGAUAUUACAUAGAAUACCAAUUGCGAAGGCAGAUCACUAACAAUGUAUUGACACUGAUGGACGAAAGCGUGGGGAGCGAACGGGAUUAGAUACCCCGGUAGUCCACGCCGUAAACGAUGGUCACUAGCUGUUCGGACUCCGGUCUGAGUGGCUAAGCGAAAGUGAUAAGUGACCCACCUGGGGAGUACGUUCGCAAGAAUGAAACUCAAAGGAAUUGACGGGGGCCCGCACAAGCGGUGGAGCAUGUGGUUUAAUUCGAUGAUACGCGAGGAACCUUACC
Molecule: ribosomal RNA, 895 nt
Filed under: uncultured bacterium
Lineage: Bacteria
Description: bacterial SSU rRNA
Rfam family: Bacterial small subunit ribosomal RNA
Source: RNAcentral